RNAcentral lists this ribosomal RNA (200 nucleotides) under uncultured bacterium. Its description in RNAcentral is "partial 16S ribosomal RNA". It matches the Rfam family "Bacterial small subunit ribosomal RNA", at positions 8 to 209 of the family's 1533-position model. The record is from RNAcentral.
AGAGUUUGAUCCUGGCUCAGGACGAACGCUAGCGGCGCGCUUAACACAUGCAAGUCGAGCGGAAAGGCCCUUCGGGGUACUCGAGCGGCGAACGGGUGAGUAACACGUGAGCAACCUACCUUGGCUUUGGGAUAACCCCGGGAAACCGGGGCUAAUACCGGAUAUCCACUCUCCGUCGCAUGAUGGUGGGUGAAAAGUUU